GACGGGUGAGUGUGCCUAGGAAUCUGCCUGGUAGUGGGGGAUAACGUUCGGAAACGGACGCUAAUACCGCAUACGUCCUACGGGAGAAAGCAGGGGACCUUCGGGCCUUGCGCUAUCAGAUGAGCCUAGGUCGGAUUAGCUAGUUGGUGGGGUAAUGGCUCACCAAGGCGACGAUCCGUAACUGGUCUGAGAGGAUGAUCAGUCACACUGGAACUGAAACACGGUCCAGACUCCUACGGGAGGCAGCAGUGGGGAAUAUUGGACAAUGGGCGAAAGCCUGAUCCAGCCAUGCCGCGUGUGUGAAAAAGGUCUUCGGAUUGUAAAGCACUUUAAGUUGGGAGGAAGGGUUGUAGAUUAAUACUCUGCGAUUUUGACGUUACCGACAGAAUAAGCACCGGCUAACUCUGUGCCAGCAGCCGCGGUAAUACAGAGGGUGCAAGCGUUAAUCGGAAUUACUGGGCGUAAAGCGCGCGUACGUGGUUUGUUAAGUGGACGUGAAAUCCCCGGGCUCAACCUGGGAACUGCAUUC
Molecule: ribosomal RNA, 529 nt
Filed under: Pseudomonas sp. LS47
Lineage: Bacteria; Pseudomonadati; Pseudomonadota; Gammaproteobacteria; Pseudomonadales; Pseudomonadaceae
Description: bacterial SSU rRNA
Rfam family: Bacterial small subunit ribosomal RNA
Source: RNAcentral